This 378-nucleotide unclassified non-coding RNA is filed under the name uncultured bacterium. RNAcentral's name for it is "contains 16S-23S intergenic spacer region". The record is from RNAcentral.
UCCGGUUUGUCACCGGCAGUCUCAUUAGAGUGCCCAACUGAAUGUAGCAACUAAUGACAAGGGUUGCGCUCGUUGCGGGACUUAACCCAACAUCUCACGACACGAGCUGACGACAGCCAUGCAGCACCUGUGUUCCGAUUCCCUUUCGGGCACACCCAGCUCUCACCGGGCUCUCGGACAUGUCAAGGGUAGGUAAGGUUUUUCGCGUUGCAUCGAAUUAAUCCACAUAAUCCACCGCUUGUGCGGGUCCCCGUCAAUUCUUUUGAGUUUUAGCCUUGCGGCCGUACUCCCCAGGCGGGAUACUUAACGCGUUAACUUCGGCACAGAGGGAUUCGACUCCCCCCACACCCAGUGUCCAUCGUUUACGGCUAGGACUAC